AGUGAAUAGAUACCCGGGUAGUCCACGCCGUAAACGAUGGAUGCUAGCUGUUAUGAGUAUCGACCCUCGUAGUAGCGUAGCUAACGCGUUAAGCAUCCCGCCUGUGGAGUACGGUCGCAAGACUAAAACAUAAAGGAAUUGACGGGGACCCGCACAAGCGGUGGAGCGUGUUGUUUAAUUCGAUGGUAAGCGAAGAACCUUACCCAGGCUUGACAUCCUGCCAAGUUCGCCGAAAGGCGAGUGUGCCUUCGGGCCGCAGUGACAGGUGAUGCAUGGCCGUCGUCAGCUCGUGUCGUGAGAUGUUUGGUUAAGUCCAUCAACGAGCGCAACCCUUAUAGUUAGUUGUAUUUCUCUAGCUAGACUGCCCUGGUAACAGGGAGGAAGGGGGGAUGAUGUCAGGUCAGUAUUUCCCUUACGUCUGGGGCUACAAACACGCUACAAUGGCCGGUACAAAGGGCUGCCAACCCGCGAGGGGAGCAAAUCCCAUCAAAGCCGGUCUCAGUUCGGAUUGUAGGCUGAAACUCGCCUGC
RNAcentral lists this ribosomal RNA (530 nucleotides) under uncultured bacterium. RNAcentral's name for it is "bacterial SSU rRNA". It matches the Rfam family "Bacterial small subunit ribosomal RNA", at positions 774 to 1319 of the family's 1533-position model. The record is from RNAcentral.